This 363-nucleotide ribosomal RNA is filed under the name uncultured bacterium. RNAcentral describes it as "bacterial SSU rRNA". It matches the Rfam family "Bacterial small subunit ribosomal RNA", at positions 30 to 400 of the family's 1533-position model. The record is from RNAcentral.
AUUGAACGCUGGCGGCAUGCUUUACACAUGCAAGUCGAACGGGCUGGGGGCAACUCCAGUCAGUGGCGAACGGGUGAGUAAUACAUCGGAACGUACCUCGUAGUGGGGGAUAACUCGGCGAAAGCCGUGCUAAUACCGCAUAUGCUCUACGGAGGAAAGCAGGGGACCGCAAGGCCUUGUGCUAUGGGAGCGGCCGAUGUCCGAUUAGCUAGUUGGUGAGGUAAUGGCCACCAAGGCGACGAUCGGUAGCUGGUCUGAGAGGAUGAUCAGCCACACUGGGACUGAGACACGGCCCAGACUCCUACGGGAGGCAGCAGUGGGGAAUUUUGGACAAUGGGGGCAACCCUGAUCCAGCCAUGCCGC